CAAAUUGACCCGGUUCCCCCUCGUUUGUCCCAUUUCCCCUUUGUGUUUCUUCUUUGUCCCCUAAUUUCCACAUUUUUCCCUUGAUUUGUCCCGUUUCCCUUCUGUGUUUCCUCUUGGUCCCGUAAUUCCCCCAUUUCCCCCCAAUUCGCCCCGUUUCCCCUUUGUGUUUCCUCUUUGCUCCUUAAUUUUUGUGUUUUUCCCUUGAUUUGCCCCAUUUCCCCUUCAUUUGUCCUGAUUCCCCUUUGUGUUUCCUCUUUGUCCCCUAAUUUCCCUGUUUUCCCCUCAAUUUGCCCCGUUUCCCCUUCAUUUACCCCAUUUCCCCUUUGUGUUUCCUCUUUGCCCCCUCAUUUCCCUGUUUUUCCCUCGAUUUGCCCCAUUUCCCCUUUGUGUUACCCCUGAAUCUCCACCUUUACCCUUGGAUUUUUCACAUUUUCCCCUUUGUGUUCUUCUUUUCCCCUUUAUUUUAUUUUUUUCUCCUUUAAUUUCAUUUUUUCCCCUUUAUUUUCCCCUCUAUUUUCAUGUUUUUCCUCUCUAUUUUUGUUUUUUUCCCCCUCUAUUUUCCACUUUUUCCCCUUUAUUUUAUUUUUUUCCCCCCUAUUUUCCACGUUUUCCCCUAUUUGCCCUUUGUGGUCCCCAUUUCCCCGUUAUUUUUGUUCCCUCCCUCUUUUCCAUACACGUUUUCCCUUUAUUUUCCCUGUUUCCCCUUUAUUUUUCCCCAUUUCCCCUUUAUUUUUCCCCAUUUCCCUUUAUUUUCCAUCUUUAUCCCUUUUUUGUUCCUGUUUACCCUCUCUUUCCGAUUUCCCCUUUAUUUUUCCCCAUUUCCCCUCUAACUGCCUUUUUAACCCCUCAUUUUCCACGUUUACUCUCUAAUUUCUCCUUUUCCCCCUUUUUUUUCCCGUUUACCCUUCUGUUUCCCACUUUGUUCUUUUCUGUGCUUUUUUUACCCUUUUUUGUACUUUUUUACUCCUCAAUUUUCCUAUUUCACCCUUUUUCCUUCUAAUUCCCCUUUCUCUGUUUGUGUUUGUUCUUUUUUGCUCCUAUUUGGCCAUUUUCCUCUUAUUUCCCUUCAUUUUCCUCUUUCCCCGUUAUUUUCCCUAUUUACCCUUAUUUCUGCUCCUGUUUACCCAUUAUUUUCACUUUUCACUGUGAUUUUCCCUAUUUACUCUUUAUUUUUAGGCCCCAUUUGCCAUUUUUCCUCUUUUCUGUUUUCUUUUUAUUUACCUUUUUUAUGCUUUUAUCUUUUUUCCCUAAUUGUUUACUUUUUUGUUUCUUUUUCCUGUUUUAUUUUUUUAUUUACUUUCCUUUGUUUUUUGUUUCCUUUUUUGUUUAGUUUUGAUUAUUUUUGUUUAACUUUUUCUCCUUUAUUUCUCCUUUCCCCCUCCCCUUUUCCCUUUUUCCCCGUUUUUUGUCCCGUUAACCCUUUACCCCCCUGUCUCCCCCCCUUUUCUCUCCAACCCCCCCAAAUGGGGCCGAGGUGCCCAAAAUUGCCCAAAACGGGCCGGUUUCAGCCCCCCCCGCUGCGGGGGGGUCC
Molecule: long non-coding RNA, 1531 nt
Filed under: Anas platyrhynchos platyrhynchos (common mallard)
Lineage: Eukaryota; Metazoa; Chordata; Aves; Anseriformes; Anatidae
Description: lncRNA (ENSAPLG00000029587.1)
Source: RNAcentral